Oncorhynchus tshawytscha (Chinook salmon) is the source of this 1188-nucleotide long non-coding RNA. Lineage: Eukaryota; Metazoa; Chordata; Actinopteri; Salmoniformes; Salmonidae. The record is from Ensembl.
GUUCUUGUGAAGAAAUCUACAGUGGAAUGGAUUUGUUUAAAACAAAUGUAUUUUAGCAAAUGUUCAACAGUUCAGUUAAUCAAUUACACAACACUAACAUUGUAUUGAAUCUUGCAUUCUGGCUAUUCUGUGUAUACUUGAUUUCUUUCCCCCACCCCUGUUACUCAUUGCCUAAUUAAAGCCAAUACAAGCUCCACACAAACUGAUAUUCACUACAACACAAAUGAUUGAUACAUGUCGAGGAUAAACAAAUUAUUUUGCUGCUAGCAAAUAAACACAUGUACAUUUACACUGGCUUGGCCCAUGCUCUGGACCGGAUCAGAUACGGCACAGUCCAUAGGCAGCGCACCUUGUUCUUCAUCCCCCUCAGUCGGAGCAGGAGGUUUCAGUCUUCUUUCCCAAACACCAGGUCUCAAGUAUAUAGUCAUUGCGAAUGAUUUCAGUCAGAAAUGCAUCUACGAUAGCUAGUAAGCUAAGGAUAAAAACAAUAGCAGAACUCGCUCCGGAAGUCAUCAACCCGGUCGGAAGUCAAUCAGAACGUUGGAGGCGGUAUAAUGUCAUGGAGCCUAUUAAAUAAUGUCAAGGAAUUAAGGCUUAAUCUGUCCAACACGCUCGAAAUCACGAUGACCUCAACAGUGUCCCUUUGUAAAAGAUUUCCUAAAGGUCUAAGACUCCAAGAUGGGAAAAUUCCUACAAGAAAGAAACAUAUGAUGACAGAGUCAGUUGUUGAUUUCCAUUGUUACCUGUUUUUCUAAAUUAGCUACUGUAUCUAUGCUAAUCACCAUCCUAUAGGCUAUAGAUUUGAGUCACCACCAGAGUAGUCCUUUUUAUGUUAUCUUUGUUUAAUCAAAUUAUGAAUCCUUAUUAUUUUGUAAAAAAUGAAUAGUAUUUUUAGAUGUUGCAAUAAAGUUGACUAAAGUAGUAGCUCAACUGUUGUUUGUAGGUAUUUUCACUUCAAUUUUCAUUUCCACUUCACUAAUGAGUAUUAGGCCCAAGUAAUUAUAUAGAAAUUGCUCAAUCCUGUGUAACACCUAAGAAAGAAAAUAAAAAUCCUUUCACUUGCAACUGCAUUUAUUUAUAGCAAACUUAACAUGUGUAAAUAUUUGUAUGAACAUAACAAGAUUCAACAACUGAGACAUAAACUGAACAAGUUCCACAGACAUGUGACUAACAGAAAUUGAAUACUGU